GGGUUGUGAGGUUAAGCGACUAAGCGUACACGGUGGAUGCCCUGGCAGUCAGAGGCGAUGAAGGACGUGCUAAUCUGCGAUAAGCGUCGGUAAGGUGAUAUGAACCGUUAUAACCGGCGAUUUCCGAAUGGGGAAACCCAGUGUGUUUCGACACACUAUCAUUAACUGAAUCCAUAGGUUAAUGAG
Molecule: ribosomal RNA, 186 nt
Filed under: Escherichia coli
Lineage: Bacteria; Pseudomonadati; Pseudomonadota; Gammaproteobacteria; Enterobacterales; Enterobacteriaceae
Also listed under: 1 other name
Description: partial 23S ribosomal RNA
Rfam family: Bacterial large subunit ribosomal RNA
Source: RNAcentral